This 240-nucleotide unclassified non-coding RNA is filed under the name Hevea brasiliensis (rubber tree). Lineage: Eukaryota; Viridiplantae; Streptophyta; Magnoliopsida; Malpighiales; Euphorbiaceae. The record is from RNAcentral.
AAAAUCAACAAAGCCCAGCCCUAGAUUUAGUAAAAUACAGUUCAAUAAACUUGUAAAAUCACAGCUCAAGGUAUAGUUAAGUCUGGUACAAUGGUGCCAAGUUCCUGAAGUAUGGUUUUCCUUGUUUUCUUUCAACUAAAAGCACCCACAUUUAAACCUCUUUUCGCUGCUGUUCAACAUACUUUUGGCCAAGAAUUUGUAUUUCUUUAUAGCAGUUGAUAAAAACUAAAGUUGAUGAUG